GGGCGACGUGGAGAGAUGUAGGAAGUGAACCUGAAGCCUGACACACUCAAGGUCUGGGAACUGAAAAUAACAGGAAUUGUUCUUAUUUUUCCAGUGGAAUCGAGCACAGAGAUGGGCACACCUCUUUACAGAACCAAAGUUUCAGAACCAUGCCUUACCCUUUGCUUAUGAGGCAGAGGAGGAGGAAGAGAAAGAACCACCACAAAGAGAGAUGGCAACAAAGUCUGAGGCCCAGGGUCACCACAAACCCAGGAGACCUGAGGCCAGGCCUGAGAGGCACAGGUAGGCUGAGGAAUGAACAGAAGAGCAACAGAGAAGCCUACAGGAUGAAAGCCAACUCUGCAAAGAGCUUCCAAGAGUCUUCCUGCCACAGAAAUUCCACUUGGCCACAGAAAUGGCCCUGGCCCUGGGCCUGGAGAGAGGUGGCGAUGAGCUGCUCAUGGCAAUGAUUUUCAGUCAACAUGUCUUGCCCCUGCUUCCAAGGGUGGAGAUGUGACUGUGAGUAGGUCACUGGGUCAGGCAGGUCACAAACCAAGCUCCUCCCACACAGUGAGUUCAUGGAGACAGAGAGAAGGAAGGGAAGGAGGUUCUCAGCUCUACUGAUUCCUUAGGUCAAGGAGGCACAGGGUCCCUGUACUUGGGGACCCUCCAGUCUGAUGGGAAGAUACAAGUCAACCCUCUUAGAGCCAUAGAAUGAAUGCCACCUACAGCUCCUCCCUUCAGGAAGGAAAUCCAGUCUGA
This 741-nucleotide long non-coding RNA is filed under the name Pongo abelii (Sumatran orangutan). Its description in RNAcentral is "lincRNA". The record is from RNAcentral. Lineage: Eukaryota; Metazoa; Chordata; Mammalia; Primates; Hominidae.